This 196-nucleotide ribosomal RNA is filed under the name Sphaeronaemella fimicola. RNAcentral describes it as "partial 18S rRNA". It matches the Rfam family "Eukaryotic small subunit ribosomal RNA", at positions 1630 to 1831 of the family's 1831-position model. Lineage: Eukaryota; Fungi; Ascomycota; Sordariomycetes; Microascales. The record is from RNAcentral.
AUCAGCAUGCGACGAUUACGUCCCUGCCCUUUGUACACACCGCCCGUCGCUACUACCGAUUGGAUGGCUCAGUGAGGCUUCUGGAUUGGCGCUGUGGGCAACUGCAGCUGCCGAGAAACUAUCCAAACUCGGUCAUCUAGAGGAAGUAAAAGUCGUAACAAGGUCUCCGUUGGUGAACCAGCGGAGGGAUCAUUAG